Molecule: long non-coding RNA, 1716 nt
Organism: Esox lucius (northern pike)
Lineage: Eukaryota; Metazoa; Chordata; Actinopteri; Esociformes; Esocidae
Source: Ensembl
CCCUUUUCUGUUUCUACUCAGUUAACUUAAAAAAAAAAAAACACUUUAUAGUGUAUUGACUAAGUGUGCCAUAUACAGCACUUUUUAAAAAUGUAUUACAUUUACAGCUGUUAUUCAGAUUAAGUCCACAAGGUAGGAGACAACUCAGGAUACCCCCUUUAAUUGGGGAAUUUAUUUUUUAAUGUUUUUUAAUUCAGCAAAUUAAAAAAGGUAUAUAGCCUAUAGCAGUCAGAAUAUAACAAAAAUUGUUUUGCACUCAUAUAGCUCUUGGUAUUGUUAGAUAUGCCAUUCCAUCUGAGCAGCAUUAAUCCACGAAAUGAACAAUACAAACAACAGGCUCAUUUGUCGCUCAUACGUCUUUAGUUUUAAGAUUAUGUUUAGCAAUUUCUUUUUUCAAAAUCAUUAUUUCCAAGUCAUCUUUAUGAAGCUGAAGGGUAAUAUAAUAAUUCUUAUUUUCUGGAAAUCGGACCGUUUUUAAAUGUACAGAUAUACCCGAUUAUUAAAGGAGAAAGCAAUGGGUUAGAAAUAUAGUAUUUUUUCACAAUAAACCAGAUACCCCCAAAUAGAAAUAUACAGCUCUGGAAAACAUUAAGAGAUCACUGCACAUUUUUCUUUCCUUUCUAAAAACUUUGAAAAGGAAGGUUUUGAGUAAUGAAGAGAAAGGUUAAAAUUAACAGACCCCUGCAUUGUUUGUGAACACAGUAUGUUGCUGCAUCCAAAAAUGCAAGUUAAAACUCCACCAUGCAAAGAAGAAACCAUAUAUAAACAAGAUCCAGAACUGCCGCUGCCUUCUCUGGGCCCAAGGUCCUUUAAGAUGGACUGAGGCAAAUUGGAAAACUGUCCUAUGGUCUGACAACUCAAAAUGUGAAAUUGGUUUUGGGAAUCAUGGACGCUGUGUCCUCUGGACUAAGGGGAGAAACCAUCUGGCAUGUUAUCAGUGCACAGUUCAAAAUCCAUCAUUUGUGAUGGUAUGAGGGUGCAUUAGUGCACAUGGCAUGUGUGACUUGCAAAGCUGUAAAGACACCAUUAAUGCUGAACAAUAUAUACAGCUUUUGGAGCAACAUUUGGUGCCAUCCAGACAACGUCUUUUUCAAGGAAGGCCUUGCUUAUUUCAGCAAGACAAUGCCAAACCACAUUCUGCACAUAUAUCUACAGCAUGGCUCCAUAGUAAAAGGGUCCAGGUACAGAGCCCACAUACAUAAACAACCCUCAGCUGGACAAAAUCUUGCACCUUAUAUAUACUUAGGUUAUUAUUAGUAAUUUAUUCAUGCAGUGUACUAUUUUUAUGCUCAGUCCACUGUUCUUAUUGGUUUUUACUUCCCUUAUUCCUUUUGUAUUAAUUGUUGCACCAAUGGUCAGAACAUAUUCCUUGUUUGUUGUAAAACAUACUUGGCAAUAAAACUAUUUUUGAUUCUGAUUCUACACACUGGCCUGCCUGCAGUCCAGACCAGUCACUCAUUGAAAUCAUUUGGCACAUUAUGAAACUAAAAAUACGACAACGGACACCCCAAUCAGCUGAGCAGAUGAAAUCCGAAACCAAUCAAGAAUGGGAAUACAUUUCACUUUCAAAACUACAGCAAUUUUUCUCCUCAGUUCCCAAAUGCUUACAGUGAUUUUUUAUAUGAGGUGAUGCAACACAGUGGUAAACAUGCCCCAACCUUUUUUUAAAUGUGUUGCUGGCAUCAAAUUCAAAAUGGGCAUGUAUUUUUCCAAACA